GAUGAACGCUGGCGGCGUGCCUAAUACAUGCAAGUCGAGCGAACGGACGAGAAGCUUGCUUCUCUGAUGUUAGCGGCGGACGGGUGAGUAACACGUGGAUAACCUACCUAUAAGACUGGGAUAACUUCGGGAAACCGGAGCUAACACCGUAUGAUAUUUUGAACCGCAUGGUUCAAAAGUGAAAGACGGUCUUGCUGUCACUUAUAGAUGGAUCCGCGCUGCAUUAGCUAGUUGGUAAGGUAACGGCUUACCAAGGCAACGAUGCAUAGCCGACCUGAGAGGGUGAUAGGCCACACUGGAACGGAUACACGGUCCAGACUCCUACGGGAGGCAGCAGUAGGGAAUCUUACGCAAUGGGCGAAAGCCUGACGGAGCAACGCCGCGCGAGUGAUGAAGGUCUUCGGAUCGUAAAACUCUGUUAUUAGGGAAGAACAUAUGUGUAAGUAACUGUGCACAUCUUGACGGUACCUAAUCAGAAAGCCACGGCUAACUACGUG
Molecule: ribosomal RNA, 497 nt
Filed under: uncultured bacterium
Lineage: Bacteria
Description: partial 16S ribosomal RNA
Rfam family: Bacterial small subunit ribosomal RNA
Source: RNAcentral